RNAcentral lists this long non-coding RNA (9433 nucleotides) under Vigna radiata. RNAcentral describes it as "long non-coding RNA (VRAD_LNC003190)". The record is from RNAcentral. Lineage: Eukaryota; Viridiplantae; Streptophyta; Magnoliopsida; Fabales; Fabaceae.
AGGUGCAAUGUGAGAAGAGCUUCUGCCUACAUUAUAAGAUGGGCUUCUUCUCUAAAUGGGUGAAGGCAGCUUCUUCCUGCACCUCUACAAGUUCUUCUUGCACCUCUACACACUUAAAAAUUCCAAUUUUACAUUAUUUUCAUUUUCAGUUCCAAGUUAUACAAUCUAAAAUAAAAUAAAUAAAAAAACAAAAAAAAACAAAAAAUAAGAAGAAGUAGUAGACUUUAGAUUCUACUUUCCAGAAUACAAAGAUUAUAUUUUGAUGUGUAUGAUCCAGAAUACAUAAUUCAUAAUCAAAAUUAUACAUUCGGAAACACAAAGUAAAAAAUACAUUUUACAGUGUGAAAUCUGAAACAUCUUUUUGAGGAAGAAGGGGGAAAGAGGUGCUCCCAUGGAAGAGGAAAAAGAUAAAGAUAAAUUGGGCCUAUGUUGGGAACAGGCUUCUUCUGUAAGUUCGAGAAUAUUUCUUCCACCAUUGCCAUUAUAGAAAAUCUAAAACACUUGUAUAUUAAAUCACUUCAUAAAAAUGUAACUGAACAGAACUGUUUCAAUGCAAUUUUGUUGAUAUUAUUUUAUCCGAAAGGUUCAAUUCUCAUCACUGAGUUAGAUUCAAUUUUGGAUAGACUCAGUUUACAAUUUUGUUCACACCCCACAUACAUCAUGGCCACCUGAGAAGAGUUGCUGGUCAUUAUACACUGUCGCGAACACUUAGGCAGAGAUUAAGACAUUUGGUUGAAUCCCCUUUCUUUUUCCCUUUACUAUUAAAAUUCUAUGGAAGGAAAACUUGGGAGAUAUGUAAAGAAAUAACAGCAAACUGGCAGAAAAACUACAGUUUUGAACAAUCAGACAUACACAAAUCCCAAAAUUUUUUUAUGCACAAUAAGAUUAAGCAUCUAAUAAUAUAAUUGUAACAGAGCCUCGUAGAUGUUCAAAUGUUAACCGUCCUACAAGGGAUCAAACCAAAUUACAUUGCUUGGAUGUAAGGGUGUCCUAGAAGCAGUAAAAGACAUGAAGAGGACAUGAUGAAAUAAACAAAGUUCAGUGCUGUGAUGGACAGCUUACAUUGCAGAUGCGUAAGGGAAAAUGUUACAAUGAAACAUAAUCACUCACACUGCCAAAACAUAAUCUCAAAAUUCCAAACACUUUUUAAGCACUUUCAGAUUGGGAUUCCAUAGAUAAAUGGCAAAAUAGACAUAAAACACAUCCUAUGCCACCCGUCUUGCGGAUUUCCAUUUCCAUUCAACUGAAAAAACUCUUUCGAGUAAGAAUGCAGAGAAACACAACCAUAAGCUAAAGCUCAAUUUUGUAUUAAACUUUAAAACAGAACACUUUGUUUCCAUUAAUGAUUGAAAGAAAAAAAACUCAAAUAACAAACAAAAGGGUUCAACAAGCAUCACAAUAAUUCAAUUGAGAAGACCCCUUUUAGUAGCAUGCAUCACAGGCACAAAACAUAUUUGGUCUAACUUCAAUCAACCUAUAACCCCUUUGAGAAUUAAAAUCCAAACAUGGUGCUUAUGUACGGGUGAUACAGGCAGCUCAAACAUUUGAAGUCAGUUCUGCAAAGCGGUGCCCGAAAUUCAUUGUUGCACAUCAAUCAGGCAACUGAUGAUAUUAAGCCAUCACAGAGCCUUAGUACCAGUGCAGUGAAGAUCAUGGAAAACAGAACCACAAAAAAUCAAAAUUCGCUACCAUUGAAAUCACAUAAAAUAAACAAAAAAAAUAUUAGAAAAUCAACGAAAAAAAACUGAAAAAAAAAAUGUCCCGAUACAACAUUUGCAUACAGCAGUAGAACAGAUCGUUGAAAACAGACAUUAUCCUCAAAAAUAAGAAAAUAUCAUCAAAUCAAAUGCUGAAACUGCAUGACUUUAGUACUUUAGAAGUGAAACACCAUGAAGUAGGUCAUUUACCGCAACCAGGAGCGGCUACGGAGCAAAUAAACAAGUUCGUGUGACAUAACGUCAUGGCGUCGAGAAAGAGGGUUUCAAUUUAUAGGAGCGAGGGAAAGUAAGUUAGGGCAUCGCAUGGAACCCACCCAAGAUGCAUUUGGGUCCGAGAAAAAGAUCAACGGUUGAUAAGGUUUGAUGACGGGAAUACUUUUCAUAUGCUGAGGACACGUGCUUUUCUAAUUUUAGUGGUUAAAUCAGCGGCUCAGAUUCGACGUAGGAAAAUUGCACUAGAACAUGUUUUCUUAUUAGUUAAUCUAUCAGUUCUUAUAUGGUAUAUAAGUUAAGAAAAAUAACUUUAUACUUUUUUGUAUUAAAAUUAAUUUAUUAAUGUGGUAUUUAUUAUAAAAUUACAUGAAAUAAAAAAUAGACUAAAGUUUGUGUUUUAAAAAUAUUAAAUAAUAUAUUCAAUUCUAAUAUUAAGAUUUGCACUCUAUGAUUCAGUCACAAAUCUUAUAAAUGAUAAGUUUUGACUUUUAUAAAAAUCAUGCCAAUAAAAAAUUAUAAUUGAUAAAUAAUAUACACUUUAAAUACAUGUAUAUUAAACCCUUUAAACAGUAAUAAUAAUUUUCAAAUGAUGUUCUUAAAAACAAGUUUUAUAUUAUUACUGAUGACCUAUUCAAUUAUAUAUGCUACUGUUUUUUUAUAAAAAAAAAAAGUUUGGAAUAGCAAUCUAAAAAAGCUACUUCAAAUAUAAUUAUAUAUUUAACUUUUUUUUUACGGUUAUUACGGUAUUCUACUUAGCUUCAUCUUUCAAUUUUUAUAGUAUGAUUUUUUAAUUAUCAUUUGGACGAAAUGACAAGGCUGACAUGAUAAACAGGAUGAUGAGAUUGUCGGAACGUAUGGGCUAGAAUAUAUGGUCAGGCUGACUGGAAUGGAUGUGAUGGUCGGACUUACUGUAAUAGGCGAAUGGACAGAUUGACAAGAUAGCUAGACUAAGGGGAUAGACUGGCUACCUGUGAUGGACCAGGUUGAUGGGAUGGUCGGGAUGGAUGGGAUGGCCAGACUGGCAGGGAUGGCCAAGAUGGAUAGGUUGGCUGGGAUUUAGAAGAUUGACAAGCUGAUUGGAUGAUUGAUUUGGCCAAGCUAGCCUUGAUUGCUGAGAUAGACAUGAUGGUCGGGGAUGGCAUGAUGGCUAGACUAACGUUGAUGGGCCAGAUGCAAGGGAUGGAACAAAUAGAUUGUGCUGAAGGAAUGGUUGGGAUGGACGAGUUGACAAGAUGGUCGGGAUGGACUGGCUUGCCGCUCUGGUCGGGCAUGCUGAGAUAACGAGACGAUCGAGAUGAACUGGAUGGAUAGGCUAAUGGGAUGGUCGUGUUGGAUGGAUUGACUGAUUUAGUUGGGUUGGCCUGUAUGGGUAGACUGACUAGAUGGUCGACCUGGAACUAGCGUGAUGAUCGUGUUGACAGGCUGACAGAAUUCCCAUGAUGGAUAGACUUGCCGAUCUAGCCAGGAUGGAUAGACUUACUGAUCUGGACAGGAUGGACUAGAUGAUCAAAUUGACGGGGUGAUGGGUUGACCGAUCUAUUGGGAUGGCUGGGCUAGGCAGGUUAUUUGAGUUCACUAGGAUUGACGAAUUGGUUAGGAUGGACAGGUUGACCCGCCGGGCCUAGUGUGACACUCGGGCACUGACGAGGGCGAGGAGUGAUCGCCGGUGCAAGAGGCAUGGUGUAGGGGGCACAGACAAGGAGCGACUCCUGGCAGGCUUCCAGUGGAAGGGGUACAUGGACGAAUUGAACAUACACCGGAAUGAGAGGGAUCUAGAGACUGUAUAGGUAUGAGACUAUACAGUUGAAGGAUAGCUUAAAGGAAUUGAUUUGGCUACUCAUAUCACCAAAAAUGCAUUUGCUUUUCGGUAGCCUAACCCAUAAGAACUCCAUGGUUAAGCGUGCUUAGCCUGGAGUAAUUCUAGGAUGGAUGACCUUCCGGGAAGUUUUCCCAGAAAGUGUGCGAGUGAGGACAAAACACACUGGCGUUACACCUAGUCCUUUUUUCCAUCCUACUUAAAAAAAGAAAAGAAAAACUCAUGCCCACACACUAGUCAAGAGACUAUACAUUGUUAUAAAUUUAUUUGCUCACAUGUCAAGGUAGGAUAACAAAUAGCAAUAAAACACAAAGGAUACAUUAAUUAUUCCAAAAUAAUUUAUGUUAAGUAUCAUUAUUAUAUAUGAGCUAACUAUUUAAUUAAACACAUAAUAGUUAAAACUCAUUCCAUUUGAAGUCAACCAAAGGUUAUUCAUCUCAUGAACAAAAAAUAUACAAUAUUUUUCUGCCCCUCCUUAGGAAUCUACCUCAAUUAUAUAUAUCACAUUUAACAACUUGUUAUGUGAAAUAUAAUAUUGGUAAUUAUUGACUCACAACUUCAUGUAAAAAAUCUUUAUCAAUUCUCACCAUCAUGUACUUUUAUUUAUUAUUUUUCUAACACAAUGCAAUACUAUAACUCUGAUGUACUAUCAAAUCAUUUAAUGUAAUGUGUAUGCAGAACACCAAAGUUAGUGGCACAUUCCUAAAAUACACACACACACGUAUAUAUACUCACAAUGAUAAUCCUUUAGUUAUUUACUUACAAAUGACAUCAAAUUUAAUCUCAUACAUAUCAUUCAUACUAUAAUAUAUUUAUUAAUCACACCCAUCCAGAUUCCAUAUCAAGUUUAUAACACAAUGAGUGAUGAAAUAAUCCAUAUUCAACUAAAAAAAUUAACAAUAAUUAGUUUAAGUAAAAUAACUUAAUUAUAGAACAAUAGAUGCAUGUUGUUUGAGUUAUUUGAAAAUGGUUUGAGUGAUAAUUAUAUCGCUUAAGUGAAAACAUCAACGCUUGAGUGAUACCUUAAAAGAAGAGAGAAUUAGUGCGACAAACAAAAGUUUGAGCGUCCAACCUUUUAAUGCAUAAAGAAUAAACAUUGACUCUCCAUUACUCAAGUAUUGUACCAUUAGGUGAGUGACUUUGGUUGGUGCAUUGAGUAUCUCAAUUUUAAAUUUUUCUUACAAAAAUUGCCACUUCAUUACUAGGAUGAUUAAUUGGUGCUUAAGCAAUGUAAGUAUUCCUAGAAAAAGAGAAUUGUUUUAACAUUUUUCUUAUUCAAUCCUCAAGUAGUAACUUGAGUAAAAAGCUUUAUCACUUAAGUAACUACAAAAACACUUAAACAACAAUACUUUGUACUUGUAACAAAUAUGAUUAAUAAUUUAUAUAUGCAAAAGAAUAAAGUCAAUAUAUCUCUAUAAAAUGUUAUAUAAUCUAAUUUUAUCGGUUCUAUUAGUUCUACAAAAUUUUAUUAAUUUCACACAAUAUCUCUAAUUCAAAAUAUUGUUCUAGUGUACUAAACUCAUCUAGCAAAUCCAAUACACAGAUAUAAAAUCUAUCAUUAUCUAACCACACUAAUCUAUUAUUAUAAUUAUUGAUAUAUAAAUAAGCUCCUUUACUUUAUAAUUAUUUACUUCUCAAAAAAUAAUAGCUUCAAUUGUUCCUAAGAACAAAAAAUACACCAAAACCUCCAUAAAGCAUAAACUACACUACUUAAUUAAAGAAAAACCUUGAUAAAUUACUGUCGCAACCAGAAAAUCGCGACGGGACGACGAUCCAAAAAGAAAACGAGUUUGAAAAAGAGUUUUGGAGUCGCCACCAUAGUUUAUUCUGGAAAACUACGGAAAAACCAUAAAAUGAUAAAACACAGUCCACGAAAACCAGAGAUUAGGUUCGGGAGUCGGUUACGUGUGGGGAAGGUGUUAGCACCCCCACAACGCCUGCCCUAAGGCAGUACCUUUAACUAAAUACGCGAAUUUGAUGUGGUUUGCAAAAUGUUUAAUUUCCCCUAAAAAAUAAAACUCUAAAGAAAACAAAAUAUAUUUUUUGUUUUUUGUGCCCGACAAGGAUUGACCUUGCUCCUACGUAUUCUCAGUUGGACUGAAAAAUCAGGGUCACGUAGUUCUUUUGGAAACCAUUUGGAAAAUGAUGUCGUGUUUGGAGUUUUUUUUUUUUUGUAUGAGGAGGAAAAAGAUUUUCAACACAAGGCCGAUAGAAUGGCCGCACUUGUGUUUAAACCCUUUAAAACAAUUUAUGAUUUUUUUUUUUUAAGAGAGGAAGAAAAAGGUUUUUGGUACAAGGCAGACAGAAUGGUCGCACUUGUGCUUAAACCCUUUACAAACAAUUUAUGAUUUUCUAAAAGAAGGAAAAGGUUUUUAGCACAAGGCAGACAGAAUGGUCGCACUUGUGCUUAAACCCUUUACAAACAAUUUAUGAUUUUCUAAAAGAAGAAGGAAAAGGUUUUUAGCACAAGGCAGACAGAAUGGUCGCACUUGUGCUUAAACCUUUUAAAACAAAUUUUUUGUUGACUUUUUUUUUAAAAGAGGAAGAAAAAGGUUUUUAGCACGAGGCAGACAGAAUGGUCGCACUUGCGCUUAAACCUCUUAAAAUGAUUUAUGAUUUUUUAAAAGAAGAAGGAAAAGGUUUUUAGCACAAGGCAUACAGAAUGGUCGCACUUGUGCUUAAACCUUUUAAAACGAUUUUUUUGUUGAUUUUUUUUUAAGAGGAAGAAAAAGGUUUUUAGCACGAGGCAGACNCAGAAUGGUCGCACUUGUGCUUAAACCUUUUAAAACGAUUUUUUUGUUGAUUUUUUUUUAAGAGGAAGAAAAAGGUUUUUAGCACGAGGCAGACAAAAGCAAAAAAAAUAAAUGAGAGUACAAAUAAAAAUUAAAAAAUAAAAAAUAAAAAAAAAAUAAAAAAAAUAAUAAUAAAUAAAUAAAAAAACAAAAGCAAAAAACAAGAUAAAAAGUGAAAUAAGAAAACAAAAUAAAAAAAAACUGUGGAGGUGCUUAAAUAAAAAGGGGGUGUGUAAAACCUAAUUUAAUUCUAAUAGCAGAUUAGGCCUAAGCCCAAGUGAAAAGGGGUAUGAAUAUGAAAAUAGGGGGCUGCAAGGAGGAAAUUCGAAUGGGCUUAAGUCCAAGAAGGAUGGGAUGCGAUCCAGCAGAAUGAGGGGGUGCAGAAAAGGUUUUUGUUUUGGUUUGCUUGUUUUUAUAUUUUUUUUGUUGGUCCAGUGGCCCAUGCAGGAAAUAAAGGGGACUGCGAAGAUGAAAAAUGGGGGUACGAAUUAAAAGGGAGGUUUGGUCCUUAUUAUGAUUUUUUUUUUUAAAAAAGAAACGACCCAAGACCUAGGCUUAGGGUUUUGCCUACAAUCAGAAACAGGGGUCUGCCCCCUUCAUCCCAUUUGUGCUCAAUAUCUAAGAGACCAGAGUCUCUUCUUCUCUGAAAAGAAACGAAACACCAAGGCACUUAACCCCCGGCAACUGUGACGUCUUCGCCUCCCACCGAAAGCCACUGCGCCGCCCCAACAGCCUUGGCAUCGCCGGCGACCCCAAGCGCCACCAGAGCCGCCGCUGGCAGCGGCGCCAGAUCUUCUCUUUUGCUCCCCUUUCGUGUGCGAGAAGAGAAACCCUCUCGGUUCGAAAAUGGCGCCGGCCGCCGUGAGCCACGAGCAGGGCCGCCAUUGGUUGCAGCGUCAAAGUCCUCCUCUCAUUCUGAUUCUGCGGGAGCUCUCUCCCUCCUUGAACGCUGCCUGCAUCCGAUAGCCACCGCGUCGCCAAUCGUCGGAGAUGCCCCCUCACCGGUGCCACCAGUGCCGCUCUCUUCCCUCUCCGUUAGAGUUUUCCUUUCUUUUCCCUCAAACGCUAGGCGUGUGAGCGCGCCCAAUUCACCGAUAAGGGAAACCCAAAUUGUAACUCUUUAAAGCAAUGAAGGGAACAGGUUUGGAAAAAAACAGAAAAAAACAAAUUUCUCAUGUCCCUCUGAAGGGAGUAUCGAACUGGGUUGUCUUCAUGACUGAAGAAGGGUUUAUGGUUUGCUCAGUGUGUGCCCAUUGCUUAGGGAGUCACCUCCUUUGUUAGUAGGAAACAAGGAUUCCAUCAGCUGACUUAGAUUGUGGUUGUCGUAGUUGAUUCUGGGUGUUUGGGUCACUUCUUCUUUCUUGCAGAAAAAUGGCAUUGGGAUCUCGGUAAUAAAAGUCCAGGUUGAUGUCGACAACAGGGUUGUGUGUGAGGGAUUGCUGGUUUGGUCAGUUUGGUAUAUUUAGCACUUUCUGCAUCUGUUUGCUAUCUUUAGAAGGCAUUGAGUCUUGAUGCUGAGGGGUAGCACAUGCCUAUGUUCUAUUAUCAGCUUAAUGAAUUUUGUUAUAUUUUUUUUAUGAAACUGACUAACAAAGGAUAUCUCAAAGUGAACGAACACAACCAUAUACACGCAUUAUUUCAUUCAUAUUCCAGACAUGUAACAGGGACAUAUAACAGGAGCAUAUACCAGAGCAGCAAGCAUCCACAUACGACCAAGAGCUUGAAGAAGACAACUUACCUCUUCUCUGGCCGUGCCGUGUUCCUUCUUCCCAAGUGGUGAUGACCAAUGAUAGCAAUGAUGAAACGUUGAGAUGAAUGAUGGUUUUCAAAGGUCUCUCGUGGUGAUAGUCGAUGAUGGGGUGAGUCUCCAAAAUGUUUUCUGAUCGUGUCGUAUUGGGUCUCAAUAACGGUGCUCUUUUGUUGUGAUGGUGUUCGCUCUUUUGUUGUGAUGUUCUGAUAACCCCCCGAGUUACUAUGAUCUCGUGCUCUUUUUGUUCUCUUCUUCUGUUGCAAUGGUCAAAAUGAAUAAAUUUUUUUUUCAUCAUCAGUGCUUUUUCUUCUGCAGGUUAAGGUCCUUUUCCACAUUUCAUGCGUAUCUCUCAAGAUCUCGUUUUUGUCUUUUUUCUUUUUUCAUGUUUUACUCGUAUAAGUUGAACAAAAACCUUUAAAAUCUUCACUCUUUCCAUGUAUGUAUGCUACUCUGCUGCUUAAGAAUUUUUAGCAAAAAUACAGAGACCUUUUUCGCACUGCCCCCGUAUGAGCACACUCUAAGCAUUUCCUUUGUAUCGCCUGAACACUCCAACAGAUGGGAACAAGAACAGAGUUGACCUUGAAAUUUUAUUUUUUCCUUUCAUUUUUUUUUUACUUUUUUCAUUUUUUCAUUUUUUUUUUCAUUUUCUUUUGUAAAUAAUUAUAUAAAAAGAAUCCCUUGAACUUAAAAAAUAUAAAAGGAAACAACAAAAUAAAAUAUGAAAGUAUGAUACAUAAAAGUAAACCGAAAAAAGAGAGAAAAUAAAAAUAAAAAUAAGACAAAAAUGAAAUAGCAUAAAACGAAAAAUGGAAUGUAAUAAAAUAAAUUAAAAUAAAAUGAAAUAAGAUAAAAUAAAAUAAGAUAAGAUAAAAUAAAAUAAAAGAAAAGAAAGUAAAAUGAAAUAAAAUAAAAAAAUAAAAUAAAAUAAAACAAAAUCUAAUAAAAUAUAAAAUUGAGAAAAAAUAAAAAUAAAUAAAUAAAUAAAUAAAAACGAAACCAACUAGAAAACAGAGGAUAAAAUUAAAAUAAAAGAAAACAAAAAAAAAUCACCCCUUUUUUUUAGAGUUUAUAUGAAAAUUAUCUUUGUUCCCUUUUUUUAUUUUAUUACUUCUUAUUAACCUUAGAUAUUUUUUUAACUACCCGG